Molecule: ribosomal RNA, 470 nt
Filed under: uncultured bacterium
Lineage: Bacteria
Description: bacterial SSU rRNA
Rfam family: Bacterial small subunit ribosomal RNA
Source: RNAcentral
GAUGAACGCUGGCGGCGUGCCUAACACAUGCAAGUCGAACGAGGCCCUUCGUAUUCGUACUUAGGUGUCCUAGUGGCGAACGGGUGAGUAUCACGUUGGUGACCUGCCCCGAAGAGAGGGAUAACCCCGGGAAACUGGGGCUAAUACCUCAUGUGUUCCGAGGAGUUAGAGGUCCUUGGAAGAAAUGGAGCAAUUCGCUUCGGGAGGGGCCUGCGGCCCAUCAGCUAGUUGGUAGGGUAAUGGCCUACCAAGGCGACGACGGGUAGGGGACCUGAGAGGGUGGUCCCCCACACUGGAACUGAAACAUGGUCCAGACACCUACGGGUGGCAGCAGUGGGGAAUAUUGCACAAUGGGCGAAAGCCUGAUGCAGCAACGCCGCGUGCGCGAUGAAGGCCUUCGGGUUGUAAAGCGCUUUUCUGGGGGAAGAGAGAGGACUGUACCCCAGGAAUAAGUCUCGGCUAACUACGUG